This 481-nucleotide ribosomal RNA is filed under the name uncultured bacterium. RNAcentral describes it as "partial 16S ribosomal RNA". It matches the Rfam family "Bacterial small subunit ribosomal RNA", at positions 28 to 507 of the family's 1533-position model. The record is from RNAcentral.
GAUGAACGCUGGCGGCGUGCCUAACACAUGCAAGUCGAACGGAGAUUACGGACGGAAGUUUUCGGAUGGAAGACUGUAAUUCUUAGUGGCGGACGGGUGAGUAACGCGUGGGCAACCUGCCCUAUACAGGGGGAUAGCAGCUGGAAACGGCUGGUAAGACCGCAUAAGUCGGUUAAAUCGCAUGAUUUGAUCGGGAAAUGAGCAAUCAGGUAUAGGAUGGGCCCGCGUCCGAUUAGCCAGUUGGCAGGGUAAAAGCCCACCAAAGCGACGAUCGGUAGCCGGACUGAGAGGUCGGACGGCCACAUUGGGACUGAGACACGGCCCAAACUCCUACGGGAGGCAGCAGUGGGGGAUAUUGCACAAUGGAGGAAACUCUGAUGCAGCGACGCCGCGUGAGUGAAGAAGUAUUUCGGUAUGUAAAGCUCUAUCAGCAGGGAAGAUGAUGACGGUACCUGACUAAGAAGCCCCGGCUAACUACGUG